CGUGACAAUUUUGAUUUUUCAGAGUGCUAAAGUGACAUAAGGACAUGUGUCUGAUACGAGGAAAGCACUAAGUUAUUGAAAGAUUGUUGGGAAAGGUGUACCAACUUGAAUUUCGAACUUAGCUAUAAAGGUGGCAUUUGGGGUUACCUUAAUAAGAUUUGCUUUGGGAUUUGUAGCCCUAGAGAUAAGCGUCGCAAUAAAUAAGUGAAAUAUUUUCCUUAUUGGCA
RNAcentral lists this long non-coding RNA (227 nucleotides) under Theobroma cacao (cacao). RNAcentral describes it as "long non-coding RNA (TCAC_LNC003993)". Lineage: Eukaryota; Viridiplantae; Streptophyta; Magnoliopsida; Malvales; Malvaceae. The record is from RNAcentral.